Long non-coding RNA from Oreochromis niloticus (Nile tilapia), 4011 nucleotides. The record is from Ensembl. NCBI's taxonomy places the organism in Eukaryota, Metazoa, Chordata, Actinopteri, Cichliformes, Cichlidae.
UGUUUCUGCCAUUUUCUGUUUCAUUUUUGAAUUCACUGUGGAAUUCCUUUAAGGGGCACAGUAGUUCCUGUAAAUGAAGUUGGUAUUUUUCAUGUAAUGCAAAACAGCAGAAUGUGACUUCUUGGAAUUAAAACUAAAGCGGUAGUUUGACACACCCACAGCUGAGCCUUGUCAAGUAGGAGGUGACACUGUGUGUGUGCUUCAGUCCUUCAUGUUAUAACUCAUCACUUCUCCUGUCAAAAGCAGCAGCACAUUUGGCCAUGAGUGGUGUCACAACUGCCAAAGGCUCAUUCAUGAUUUUGACUCUGCUGUGUCUGGUCCAUUUUUCAAGUUCAGUGAUAAACAACGAUCAACUGGAGGAACUGAAAGCAAACAUUCAAAAACUCCAACAAGAAACAAUGAGAAAGAAGGCUGAAUAUAUUUUAGACAGAGCCUACCUUCCAGCUCUUUUUGAUGAUAUUGGACGCUUCAUGGAUCCUUUUUCCGAACUUCUGAAGUCAUUGAAUUUUCCUACAUUGGUACUUACACCAAUGCUGGAUUUUAUGGAUGACAUAGAGACUUUCCUGGAAGACAGCAAGAAGUACAUAAAUACAUUCUUUGAGACAAUAGCUGCAGAAAUCAAGGACAAUGAAGAUAAACUAAGCAGCGUGAUGGCACAUCUAGAAAAGCAUAAAGAAGAACUGUAAGAUAUUAGUCAGCGUCUGUCUCUAGUAUUAAAUGUUCUGUAUUUGUAAAACUUCUCUUUCAUACUGUGCAGGUUUUGAGUCAAGAAACAAUUUUGUCAUAUUUUCUUUUCAUUGUCUUUAUUUUAAUUGAGUUAAAAUACAAACACAAGACACAGAACUGAGAUUGUGUCUAAGUAACCAUAUUAACACUGGCAACUGUUAAUGAUUUAAAUGAUGAACGCCUUUUAAUGUGAAUAAAGACAUUAAAACUGUUAUUAUUUAAUGUUUUUGCAAAUUGUGAUAUUCGUGAGAAAAGACAGAAGCUGUUGCUGAUUGUUCUCUAAAUGUAAAUUCCUUGAGUUUCAAAAUGCAGAACACUCAUCACCUGAUCCUCUGAUGUAGGCCGUGUGUGUGCGCGCGUGCGUGUGUGUGUACUGUUAUUCUACACUACAGACUAGAUGUUUUAUUAUGGUGUUAAAGGGUGAGAUUAGUAUAGUGCUACACAUCUUAUUUGACUUGUAAAUCAUCAGUGAUGCCCUGGAAAAGAGAAUGAGCAAAAUUCAUGAACAAAUAUGUAAUAAUCCAUAAAGUUUUAUAUGAUCAUAAUAGUUAUUAUAGUUUUGUAGGCUAUGUUGUUGUUUUAUAUGAUACAUAUUACUAUAUAUCAGGGGUAUUAAACUAAAAUUUGAGGAGGUCCAGUUGGAGAAAAUCUUCUCAAGCAGAGGUCCGAGACAUCAUAAUGUCUAACUUACGUUAUGAUUGUGAUAGAGAAGCAGGCUUCUUUUUUUUUUUUUAAUUAAUAUCUGAACGUAUGAACAAUAGACUGUCAAAUCAAUGAAAAUACAAGUUAAAAACAUUUCAACAAAAUUUAUUGUUAACACUGAAACACACAGUAGGCCUACAUUAGAUAUAGGGCUGCUGUUUAAAGUUAAUUAUAGAAAAUAAAUAAAAUGGCUAAAUUGUGCAUCUUAAAACAAAGUGCUUAAUUUCAGAAAAAAAAAAUAGCAGCAGCUUGAGUUUCCCUUUUUCUUUACCUUUUACAUCUCGUCUUAACAGUCUCAAUACAUUUUCAACAGAUAACAUCAAAACAUCCCUGAACCUGUUCCUUCACUGUUGGGAAGUGUGUAUAGUCUCCUUGCAGGUCUUCUUUGAACACUUCAAGUUUCCUCUGAAAGGAGCAGACAGCUGUCAUCAGUUCACAAAUUGAACUGUCCUUGCCCUGCAGCUUCAAAUUCAGCUCAUUCAGGUGUGAAGUGAUAUCAACCAAAAAGGCCACAAUAUCCAUGUUUUUCCCAUCAUUUAAAAAGAGAGAAAAGUUUGUUGCUUUCUGACUUUCCAGCUCUUCCAAGAAAGCUGCUACUUCACUUCUGAUGGACCAAAAUCGCCUUUGCUAAGCCAUCUCACAUUGUUGUGAAGCAGAAGAUCAUCAGCGUGUGCAUCAAUUCUCUAAGAAAUUCCCUGAGCAUGCAAUGCUGACAAGAAGAAGAUGCCCUGAGAAAAUUUAUCAUUUUCAUUAGGGAUGCACCGAUACCGAUACUGGUAUCGGGUAUCGGGGCCGAUACUGUAAAAUGUGUGCGUACUCGUACUCGUAAAAGUUAACCGAUACCAUGAACCGAUACUAAUGUAGCCCGGAUGGGAAUUUGGGAGUGGAUACUCAUAAUUCCCAUGGACUUAAACGCCACGGUAACAUAAGGUGUUCACAGUUGAUGUUAUGUGAUGUAACUCUACCCUGAAUGUAAUUUGCCCUGUAAUAUGUUGCAAGGUAAAUACAGGUAAUUAGAGCAAUCAAACUGUUAUGUUAAUCAUAAAAGUAUUAUUUUAUGGUAUGUAACUCUGAAGGGAGUUAAAAUAUUUUUCAGAGUUCUCAUUUUCUGGAGGCCCGUGAAGGUAGCAUAAAACGGGACCUGUGUAUCUGUUGCAAUGGAGGAGGAGAAGAGAACGGCAUGGAGAGAUGAACGAGGUUAGCUGAACCAAAGUGAGAGACUCGGCUAGUUUUACUGAGGUUAACCAGCACAAAAGAGUGUGUGACUAGAAAGCUGACCGUGUGAGAGCUUCACAACAGAGUGUGGGUGAAGUGACUUUUUGUUUCAAUGGUCGCACCACCGUGCUGUGUUUCCAGCUACGAUCGCCGAGGCUAAAGGCUAGCCCGGACUGCUUGGCUUCGCCAAGGAGGCAGCCGCUAUGGACUGUCGGAGAGCUGGACAGUGACGGGCUAACGUGCUGUAGCAGAGACAGCAUCGGGUCCGCAGGGAGUGGAUUUAGUGUGGGACUGGUGAACGGCGAUCUACCGAGCAACGGAACUGUAAGUCAGACUUUUGUGCUCUUACUGGGGAGAAGAGGAUUUUUCUCCAUCGUCCGGCGUGAGCAGCAAACAGGCCUGCAACAAGUGUGAAUGUGAGUGUGUGGAGCCGAUGUGUGAAUAUUGUGUGUUUAGUGGAUUUAUAUAACGUGUUUUGGAGUGUAUGUUAGUGAGUCACUUACCAAAAGGUGAUAACAUAAGUUGGGUUGUUUAAUAUAAUUUGAAAGGGAAUUAUUUCAUUUAUACAGUGUAUUUCAUUUGGUUAAGGAAUUGGAAUAUCAUUUGAGUUUAAAAAAGGGAUGUGUUGUACAGUAUUUGUCUCUGCCCUUAUGUUCAGUAAACGUUUCGUUUGUGUUAAAGAGUUGUCUGGGGUCGUUUCUUUACUACUGGUUAAGUUUAACUGUGUGUGGUAGAAGUAUCGGUUUUUGUACUCGGUAUCGGCAAGUACUCAGAUCCAAGUAUCGGUAUCGGAUCGGUUUGAAAAAAUUGGUAUCGUUGCAUCCCUAAUUUUCAUUAUUGUUUUCAUCACCUCAGCAUACUCAUCUGACAGGGUGGAGCAUAAGACAGACUGAUGAAUAAUGCAAUGGUAAGAGAUUAGUUCAGGAUUGUCCUGUUUCAUUCUUGCUACAGCUCCUUUCUCUCUCCCCAUCAUAGCAGGGGCUCCAUCUGUGGUUAUUGAAACCACUUGGUUUGGCUCUAUUCCUCGCUUUGUUAACAUUUCCUUAAUGGCCAGGUAAAUAUCCUCUCCUCUUGUAGUGCUGUGAAGGGAAGUUACUCCUAGCAGGUCUUCACAGAACUCUUUCUUAUCAUUGUUGAAGAACCUUACAUAAACUAACAGCUGAGCAUUGUCAGACACAUCAGUGGACUCAUCUACAGCCAAGCCUACACAUGGUGUCUUAACUUCUUCCAGCUGGGACAGCACAUCCUGAGCUAAUAUUUCGCUUCUCUUUGUGGCUGUUGAUGCUGACAUAGGUAUUUGCUUUAUUUUGUCACAAAGCUCUUCUUUUUGUUUACCCUCAAGUAAUGUUUCUGCUACUGCACUCAUGC